CCUACGGGAGGCAGCAGUGAGGAAUAUUGGUCAAUGGGCUUAAGCCUGAACCAGCCAAGUCGCGUGAGGGAAGACUGCCCUAUGGGUUGUAAACCUCUUUUGUCAGGGAGCAAUUGGCGCUACGUGUAGCGUUAUCGAGAGUACCUGAAGAAAAAGCAUCGGCUAACUCCGGGCCAGCAGCCGCGGUAAGACGGAGGAUGCGAGCGUUAUCGGGAUUUAUGGGGUUUAAAGGGUGCGUAGGCGGAAUGCCAAGUCAGCGGUAAAACCGCGGGGCUCAACCUCGCUCCGCCGUUGAAACUGGCGUUCUAGAGUGGGCGAGAAGUAUGCGGAAUGCGUGGUGUAGCGGUGAAAUGCAUAGAUAUCACGCAGAACUCCGAUUGCGAAGGCAGCAUGCCGGCGCCCAACUGACGCUGAAGCACGAAAGCGUGGGUAGCGAACAGGAUUAGAUACCCGAGUAGUC
Molecule: ribosomal RNA, 460 nt
Filed under: uncultured bacterium
Lineage: Bacteria
Description: partial 16S ribosomal RNA
Rfam family: Bacterial small subunit ribosomal RNA
Source: RNAcentral